GAUGAACGCUGGCGGCGUGCCUAAUACAUGCAAGUCGAGCGAACAGACGAGGAGCUUGCUCCUCUGACGUUAGCGGCGGACGGGUGAGUAACACGUGGAUAACCUACCUAAAGACUGGGAUAACUUCGGGAAACCGGAGCUAAUACCGGAUAAUAUAUUGAACCGCAUGGUUCAAUAGUGAAAGACGGUUUUGCUGUCACUUAUAGAUGGAUCCGCGCCGCAUUAGCUAGUUGGUAAGGUAACGGCUUACCAAGGCAACGAUGCGUAGCCGACCUGAGAGGGUGAUCGGCCACACUGGAACUGAGACACGGUCCAGACUCCUACGGGAGGCAGCAGUAGGGAAUCUUCCGCAAUGGGCGAAAGCCUGACGGAGCAACGCCGCGCGAGUGAUGAAGGUCUUCGGAUCGUAAAACUCUGUUAUUAGGGAAGAACAAAUGUGUAAGUAACUAUGCACGUCUUGACGGUACCUAAUCAGAAAGCCACGGCUAACUACGUG
RNAcentral lists this ribosomal RNA (496 nucleotides) under uncultured bacterium. Its description in RNAcentral is "partial 16S ribosomal RNA". It matches the Rfam family "Bacterial small subunit ribosomal RNA", at positions 28 to 507 of the family's 1533-position model. The record is from RNAcentral.